Armigeres subalbatus is the source of this 841-nucleotide long non-coding RNA. RefSeq lists it as uncharacterized. The record is from RefSeq and is a predicted model, not a curated record. Lineage: Eukaryota; Metazoa; Arthropoda; Insecta; Diptera; Culicidae. The transcript is spliced from 3 exons.
AAUUUUCAAUCUCGCAACACUGCCCAGACUGAAAGCUGCAAGCUUCUGGCGGUGGUACGCCAUGUUUGUUUUGAGCUCUUGUUUGAGCAAAAGUUCUUUUCGUUUUUUCGCUGGCAAUCUCAAUAAAUAAUAAUUAGUUCGUCCUCAAACUGUUCGGAUUGGAUCGAGUGGAGCCACUUCCUCCAGGACUACCUGCUGCAGGGAGCCGACGUAGCCUCUCGCGAAUCCAAUGUGCCUCUCGCGAAUGUGCUGACCAUAGUGCACGACCUUACAAUGCACCUGGUCGUCGAUUACAAUCUCCAUGUGGUCAAACUGAAAAGCCUGAAGCAGGCUCAAGCUGGCGGAAAUAGCCGAAAAGAUGCGAUUCAACAUUACCAAAUUGGAGCCGGUUCUUUGUUAGGAGCGACUCUUGUUGGCUGGAGAAGAUCCUGAUGAUUUCCGGACCGGUCGAUAGGCCGUUGCGAGCGCCCAAGGAAAAAUAGUCUGAAGUCAUCGACUGUAUCACUUAGUUAAGUUGUUUUUAUACGGUGGUAUCUCGUCUAGAACUGGCUUCCAUAUUUCAAGUGAUAAACAACUCACCUUUAGCCAUGCCGUUUCACCCGAUGGACUUCGUGCGCUUCCUUUGGACAUUAUUGCUGCGGAAAGACCAAUUAGGGCAACGUAUCAUACGAACAGAUAGUGGCAACUCAACAUACCCUGCCAAGCAAGACUACCAUUCGACGAACAACGACACCCGUUCAGUGAAAUUCUAUCUGUUAGCUUAAAUUUAAUUUUCUUCGUUCAAAUGCAGCGAAAUAUAACAAAUAAAAAUGAUUGUAUGUGCAAUACUAAUAAAAAACAA